RNAcentral lists this RNase P RNA (287 nucleotides) under Acidimicrobiales bacterium. RNAcentral's name for it is "partial RNase P RNA component class A". It matches the Rfam family "Bacterial RNase P class A", at positions 96 to 367 of the family's 367-position model. Rfam says of the family: Ribonuclease P (RNase P) is a ubiquitous endoribonuclease, found in archaea, bacteria and eukarya as well as chloroplasts and mitochondria. Lineage: Bacteria; Bacillati; Actinomycetota; Acidimicrobiia; Acidimicrobiales. The record is from RNAcentral.
GACCUGACGGUACAGGGCAACAGAGAGCAGACCGCCGAUGGCUCGGCGGCGGUGCCGGCAACGGGACCGACGAGGAGCACAGGUAAGGGUGAAACGGUGCGGUAAGAGCGCACCAGCGUCGAGGGCGACCUCGGCGGCUCGGCAACCCCCACCCGGAGCAAGGUCGAAUCGUGGGAGGGCCGGCCCGGCCAUAUCUCCCCAGGUGGACCGCACAGAUGGAUGGUCACCACUCCCGGGAUCGUGAGGCACCGGGAGGACAGAACCCCGCUUACAGGUCAACUCAUCCU